RNAcentral lists this ribosomal RNA (535 nucleotides) under Dactylogyrus ctenopharyngodonis. RNAcentral's name for it is "bacterial SSU rRNA". It matches the Rfam family "Eukaryotic small subunit ribosomal RNA", at positions 1322 to 1831 of the family's 1831-position model. The record is from RNAcentral. Lineage: Eukaryota; Metazoa; Platyhelminthes; Monogenea; Dactylogyridea; Dactylogyridae.
AUUCCGAUAACGAACGAGACUCUAACCUGCUAAAUAGUACGGUUGCAAUUGUUAUGUGGACCUCUGUUCAGGUACCUCUGGUGCUUGGAUAGAACCACAUAAGCAGGUGAAACUUCUUAGAGGAACUGGCGCUCAAAAAGGCGCACGAGAAAGAGCAAUAACAGGUCUGUGAUGCCCUAAGAUGUCCGGGGCCGCCCGCGUGCUACAAUGACGAUUGUACUGAGCAUGAUUAACUUGUCCGAAAGGAUCGGUGAAACUGUUCAAUCAUCGUCGUGACUGGGAUUGGGGUUUGCAAUUGUCCCCCAUGAACCAGGAAUUCCUAGUAAGCACAAGUCAUAAGCUUGUGCUGACUACGUCCCUGCCCUUUGUACACACCGCCCGUCGCUACUACCGAUUGAAUGGUUUAGCAAGGACAUUGGAUCGAGCCCUUGCGGUUCACGCUGCUUGGGUUUGAGAAGAUGUCCGAACUUGAUCAUUUAGAGGAAGUAAAAGUCGUAACAAGGUUUCCGUAGGUGAACCUGCGGAAGGAUCAUUA